Molecule: ribosomal RNA, 119 nt
Organism: Trypanosoma theileri
Lineage: Eukaryota; Euglenozoa; Kinetoplastea; Trypanosomatida; Trypanosomatidae
Source: Rfam
GGGUACGACCAUACUUGGCCGAAUGCGCCAUAUCCCGUCCGAUUUGUGAAGUUAAGCGGCCGCAGGCCCCGUCAGUACGGCGAUCAAUUACAGUGCUGGAACUCGGGGUGCCGUACCCU